RNAcentral lists this long non-coding RNA (1376 nucleotides) under Numida meleagris (helmeted guineafowl). RNAcentral's name for it is "lncRNA (ENSNMEG00000013477.1)". The record is from RNAcentral. Lineage: Eukaryota; Metazoa; Chordata; Aves; Galliformes; Numididae.
UCCUCCUACAGUCUCCCUUCAAUAUUAAUUUAUUGUAGCUUACGUAGCACUGAUAUGUGUAGCUAUAUACAUUUGCUGAAGUCUCAGCAGCAUACGUGUGUGGAAAAGUGGGGAUACGGUGAUGUCUCUCUCAGUCUUACUCUAUGCUACAAAUCAACAACUGUCCAAGGGGAGAUGCUAUGUGACCACAAACAUGAGUGCAUAGCAUUGAGAAAGCAGCAGCCAGUUUCUGAGUGCUUGUGCCAUGUGAAUACCUUAUAUAUUCUGUGAGGCUCAAAUCACACUUGUCUAUGGCCUGGGACCUCAGUGAGCCCAUCAGGCCAUGUAGGAGGACAGCAUCAGUUUUGUGCCAAUGGCACAUUCGUGGCACCUGGACAUGCCACAGGGAUCCCUGCGUGGAGAUAAGUUAGAUUUCACCUGUAUCUGGUAAUUGAGUUUGAGGGUUUCUUUUACCAGGCACCUUUAAUCUCACUACUGCCCUCCAGAAAACUGCAGCAACAGUGGAACAACCAGAUGCCUGUAGUUAUGGGGAAAUCUGGAUCUUGAAAUGCCACUGCUAGAUGUCCCUCAGCUCCAGAUGACAGUGCAGAGCUGCCCCUGUGGCCCACUGGCCUCCUCCAGCCCACAGGCUGCACCAGCAGCCCGCAGCACAAGCGAGGACACCCAGGGAUGCUGCCCCAUCCCAAUGGCUUCCAAAGCAUGGUUUGAGUGUUACAGUCACACCACCGCUUGCUGAGCAGACUGUAUAGGUGUUAGCACUUGGCUGAGGAGAAGGGGCCCAUUCAGGCCUGGUUGUGGCCUGCCUCCUCCACCCUGGGGCCAGCCACCAAGGUGGGUUUGCACUGACCCAGCUGGCGGCAGAUCGGGGGAUCUCCUGUGACACCUUCAUGAAGAAGCACAGGCUCAGCUGGUGUGAGGUGAAGCAGUCAGCAAAGGAGCAGUGCCUGCUCUGCGUGAAUCACCCUCACCUUUCGGAGGAGGAACCCGUCCAUCCCCCACAUCCUGCCUGUGACAUGAGGUGUUCAUCCAGGAUUUCCCAUCCAAGGAGUGCUCCUUCCCCUUCCUACUGUUUGGUUUUCAUCCUCAGGCUGAGGAGUUUGCCCUAGUUUCAAAGGAGUAGCAGAACAGAAGUGUAGGUUCCCUCCAUGCAGCGGAGACUCUCCAGAAGGUUCAUAAACCUUUCCCUGCACUGGCCAGAGCUCCAGCUUUGAACCAAAGAGCCAGAAAACAACUUGUCUGCUUUCUUGUUUCAUAAAAAGAUUCUACACAGUCCUAGUGCUGGCAUUGCAGCACGGACCUUUUGAAGCGGCUUCUGGGCAUGUGUUUUCUGUUUAUUUUCUAAUAAAAGAGAAUCAUAUGCACUGAGUUUUCUAAGA